GGCCGCCCCCGCCCCCGCCGCCGGGAGCAACCUCCACAGCAAGACCCUCCUCAAGAGCGAGCAGCUCUACCAGUACAUACUGGAGUCCACGGUGUUCCCGCGCGAGCCCGACUGCCUCCGGGAGCUGCGCGUCGCCACCGCGGCCCACCCCAUGUACGGGUCCGGUCCGAUUCCUGGGAUUCCGGCGGUGCGUUUUUUGUGCCGCCCUUGCUCGAAUGGUGUUUGACUUUUUGCCCGUACGGGCGUGGGACCCGCUACGUGCAGGGCUCGCAUGGCGGCGUCGCCGGACCAGGUGCAGCUGUUCGGCCUGCUGAUCGAGAUGCUCGGCGCCAGGAACGCCGUCGAGGUCGGCGUGUUCACCGGGUACUCGCUGCUGGCCACCGCCCUCGCCCUCCCCGACGACGGCAAGGUCGUGGCCAUCGACGUUACGCGCGAGAGCUACGACGAGAUAGGGGCGCCGGUGGUGGAGAAGGCCGGGAUGGCGCACAAGAUCGACUUCCGCGUCGGGCUCGCGCUGCCGGUGCUGGAUCAGCUCGUCGCCGAGGAUGGCAACCUGGGCAAGUUCGACUUCGCCUUCGUGGACGCGGACAAGGCCAACUUCCACCACUACCACGAGCGGCUGCUGCGGCUGGUCAGGGUCGGGGGGCUCAUCGCCUACGACAACACGCUAUGGGGCGGCUCCGUGGCCGCGCCGGACGACGAGGCGCUGUCGGAGCGCGACCGGGAGCUCGCGGGGAUCGCCAGGGGGUUCAACGCGGCGCUCACCGCCGACCGCCGUGUCCAGGUGUGCCAGCUCGCCAUCUCCGACGGGAUCAUGCUGUGCCGCCGCGUCGCGUGA
This 838-nucleotide ribosomal RNA is filed under the name Triticum aestivum (bread wheat). Its description in RNAcentral is "partial small subunit ribosomal RNA". The record is from RNAcentral. Lineage: Eukaryota; Viridiplantae; Streptophyta; Magnoliopsida; Poales; Poaceae.